CUGCAAAAGACGGUUGUCCACCGUCGCCGAUGCUGCAAACGCCGGCCUCUGCUCCUACAAUUGCUACUGCUACAAGCCGGGCGCUGAGAAGGAAGCUGCUGAACUAGUCGCGGAGGAGAAAGGUUUGCUGUACCACGCCCAAAAUAAGGUGAGUUGCAAUCUCUCUCUCUCUCUCCCAUCAAUCUCUCUUCUCUAUACGCGGAUGGAGCGGAUUCACAAGAUAUGUUGGCCAGCAGACAAGAUAUGAACCCAUUUUUCAGUUUUCUUGCACAUCCAGAUCCAUCUCCAUCUCUGUAUCUUACAGAACAUAGAAACCGGUAGCAAGAACACACUCGGGCAUGAGCAUGAUGCUAUAUUUUGAUUGCAAUUUGCUUCAAAACAACAACUCCAUUGAAGAAAAACAAUCUGGGAACACUUAUUUGCAAUAUGCUCCGACAUCCACAGAAAAUAUAUGUUCCAGACAAAUCUGGGAACAACGGGGUGGGAAUCCAUGCAUGCAGAUGUGGUAUUCCUGCAGAAAAAACAAUCGUUGCAUACUCUGACUCAGGACACACUGAAACGGCACAGUACACGUAGUUGAACCAACCCAUGAGCAAGCACUCAGCCCAGUCACCAAAUCCACAUCUUGAUGGAUUGACAACAGCAAAUUUAUCAAAAUCUACGAAGCCAACAUCAUAAGACAGAUCCAUCCAGAGCAAGCGUUAAUAUUGUUGGUCUUUGAAGACGACAUGUGACUGCGUACACUAGUGUUUACUAGCUGAAGGCAUUACAUUGGUUCAACACCCGCUACACACUCACACCAGCUGCAGGAAUUCUAUGUUAUGGGAUAGAGCUAGCGUAUCAGAACCUGCACUAACAAUUGUGGUGCGGUCACACGACACAGCUAAUGCAAGCACUCUGCCAUCAUGCCCGUCGGCGAAGAUGGCAUGACGAGCUCCUGAUACAGAGUCCCAUAUUCUGAUGCGGCCAUCCUCGCACCCUGUAGCCACGAACCUUGUCGCUCCCAACCAGGCUAGACAGGUCACAAUGCCCUAACACACACGACAACCAUAAUGGCAGGCAGUUAGAGAAGCACAAAACGCGGUAAGUAAUCGUUAGCCACGAGGCAUCAACCUCAUGAGGGAGAUGAUGCCGAGCCUCUUGAGUUUCGGCAUCCCAUAUAAUGACCAUGGAAUCUCUGCUUCCUGUUGCGACGACGCCAUCUGCAGAGAUGCCGAUGCAACAAACAGUACUUCCAUGGCCCAUCAAUGCACCAACGACCUGCAAGACUCACAGAUUCAAUGUUCAUGCCUCAAGAUCAACAAACACCAAGAUUUGAACAUUUAUUUGCAUACCUGUCCGAGUUCAAUGCUGACAACACACACGGAACCAUCUUUUGAGCAGCUGUAUAUGGAUUUAGAAUCAUUUGUGAUUGCCAAGCACGUCAAACCUGUGCUGUGAAAGUUCUCACCUGAAAAUUGAAACAGCAAAUCAAUUACAAACUAUAUCAGGACAGCAAGAUCAAUUACUAAAGCUUCAUAAACCUACGAAGCACCGAUACAGCGAAACAGAUACAACAAGGGUACGGCGAUACGGGAUAGGGCAAGGCAAAACAGCAAUAUGGCUGAGUAUAUAUUAAAAAUAAUAAAAUGCACGAGAUGAGAUCAAAACACUGCCCCAUAAACUAUACCAUACCAGCAAAUACCAAAUACAUGAUAGUUAUAACUGCUCACCUUCGAUGAUACACUUUGUCUGGGCACUCUUCGGGCACCACACCCUCAGAGAGGCAUCAUCUGACCCAGAACAUAUAAGUUUACCUUAAAAGAAUAUAUAAAGAGGUUAGCUAACAAUUCAUAUGCAGAGGUUUGAGAUCUGCGCCAAAAGGUGAUAAGGAAAUGCAAAUAACCUAGAAAGUUAAAUGAAAUAAGAUGUACCAUCAGGUGUAAAGUCGCCACAAGUCACAGUCCGCCUGUGGCCAGCAAAUACAUUCAUCAAGUAGUUCUCAGGGUCUCCGCCCAAAUACCACAGCCACAACAUGUGAUCAUCCGACCCUGCCAAUAACGCCGGGCCGCGUGGAUGCCACUUAAGCCACUACGAAAACACAACACAAUUUAAAGAGGAGAAAGACAAAUGCACAGAAGGAACAGGUGCAGUAUCAUGGAUGCCAUUUAAGCCAACUAUGAAACACAAUGAAAACUGGUGAAAAGAUAAAUGCACAAAGAAUAAGUACAGUAUCAUCUUACCUCAAAACUAGAGCCAGAGCGAGGACGGAGAUGUGUGAAAAGAGCUCCUGUAGAGGUGGUCCAAACACUAACUGUGCCGUCCAUACUUGCACAUGCCAGUAGCGUUCCGUUACAACUGAAUGCAACACUGGUAAUUGUAUCUUCGUGCCCUGUAUCAGGUGGGGCUAUUAUUUAGUUACCACUGAGCUUCAACAAACUAAAGUAACUAUAUGCACAGAAUCAUGCUAUCAUAAGUUUCAAAUUGAUUGCCCACACAUGCUCCUACAAAAUAUUGCAAAUAUGAAAUGGACAAGAUGACCAUACCACUAAAUUCAUGCACAUCCUGGGGAUUAAGAGACCAAGCUCUCCACAGAUAACCUCUGUCAUCUGCCCCACCGGAAAGAACAAGCAAGCUCUGCUCAGGAUGGCAUGCCACGCUCAUUACUUCAUCUGCACAAGAUAAGUAUAAAGAACUCAGGCACCAACAACAAAAAUGCAAGCUACAACAAUUGCACUUAUAAAUUAGUUACACGACAGAUCUUACCAGUGUGUCCAGAAAAUUCGUAUGUGCCAGCAUCCACUUCAUCUGAAACACAGAGACAAAAGAACACAGUAUGAAGCAAUAACCAAGAGAUAUCAAAACUAAAAAUACUAAACCGUCAUGUACUGUCGAGUUGAUCAAAACUUCUUAGUUUCACUUGAUUUUUAGGACCAUGUAUCUAUCUAAGUUAUUUGUUAUCUGUAUUACUCAACCACCCAGGAUACACAUGAGCUGUACCUUCCUCGUCCAAGGCAUCAUCAUCAUCCUCGCCCAGUUCAUCUGAAACAACAGAAAACAAUAGAACACUGUGUGAAUCAAUAACCAAGAGAUCUUAAAACUAAAAAUACUAAAACAUUAUGUACUGUCCAGAACAUAGAAAAUAUAUACUCCCUCCGUUCCUAAAUAUAAGUCUUUUUAGAGAUUCCACUACGGAUUACAUACGGAGUAAAAUGAGUGACUCUACACUCUAAAGUAUGUCUAUAUGCAUCAGUAUGUAGUUUAUAGUGGAAUCUCUAAAAAGACUUAGAGGGUGCUUGGAUCCAAGGGACUAAAACUAGUCCGACUAAAAAUAGUCUCUUUAAGAGGCUAAAGUUCCAAGCACCCGUGACUAAAGAGAGGCUAAAACUAGUCUUGAGGCUAAAAUCUUUUAGUCAGGGUACCCCUACUAAAAUGUGAAUUAGUCCUCUCUCUCCUCAUUUAACUCCUCUCCUUUAACACAUGCGAGUUCUGGAUUGGAGGGUUUGGAGGAUAAUAAAUGCUCAUUAACUUGAUUUUAGUCUCUUUAGUAUUUGGAUCCAAGCAUGGGUGGGGCUAGCAAGUUUUAGUCCCACUACUUUUAGUCAUGGGACUAAAACGUAUCCAAGCACCCUCUUAUAUUUAGGAAAGGAGGGACUAUAUAACAAACAAUAAACGACCAUUCUUGGGAGCAGAAAACCACUAAAAGACACACAUAGCAGAAAAAUAGAAAAACAAGGACAACGUGCAUGCUUUAUCUAUCCAUAUGUUGUUAUUACUACCAAAACUAACUUAUAAGCAAUUAGUAUUCUGUCUGUAUAUUGCCAUAUGGUUGAUAAACAUUAGGUUUCUAAGGAAUCUGUUUGGUACCAUAACACUCACUGCCUGCAAUGGAUUUGGUUGGUCUUUUUAGCAAAGUUUUAAAUAGCCAGCUAUAGCUGUUUGAGCAUGUGCUGCUAUGUGGCAUAGCCCACUAAACUUACGAAAUAGCCCGCUAUAGCGGGCUAUAGCCUAGCUAUAGCUGAUUUGGAGGGCCGCCGCUAUUUGCCAUAGCCCGCUAUUUAAAGCAGUGCUUUUUAGUGUCUGUAACACUUUUUGUUUUUGCUCUACGGAAUGCAUGAUAUUAAGCCUAUCGAAACAAUGAAGUUUGCACUGGAGAUCUUCUAGCUGUUUUGGCUAGGCCCCAAGACAGAAUGCUACUUCCCAUGAUAUCUUGGUUGCUGGUCAUUUGAUGUACCAAUACUUUUGUCAUAGGUAGCCUGAGUUUUGAUGCAACCAGGGAGAAGAGGGCGAGGCUUUUUCAUACUCAGUGGUUCAAGCGAGCUAAAUAUUGCGAGGGGAAAUAUUCUCAUUGAUAUUUCUUUGUUGCUCGUGUAUGGCUGGCUGACAUUUAAAUGUAAAUAGAAAGAUUUCCUGGACCUUCCACGUUGACAGCAUUAUCCUCGUUGACGUUGAUGACGGCCUCUUGGGCACCAGGUUCGUCUGAGACAACAGAAAACAAGAGAACGCAGCAUGAAUUGAUAGCCCAUAUAUCUCAUAACUAAAAAUACUAAGAAGUUAUGUACUCUCCAGAUAUAGAGGAUGUAAGAAACAAUAAACCAUCCUCCUUGGGAGCAGGGAACCACUAAAAGACACAAAAGCAAGGAGAACAUCCAUGCCUGUAUUUAUCCAUGUUAUUAUUAGUACCCAAAACUAAGCUAUGUUUGGCAAUUAAUCUUCUGUUUGGUAUUGCCAUAUGGUUUGAUUCUCAUCAGGUUCCCAAGUAAUUGGUUUGGUUCACCCUGCCUGGAAUGGGUUUGGUUGGUCUCUUUAGUCUUGUGUCAAACAAAUUUGUUGCUCUAUGGAACGCAUGAUAUUUAGCCUAUCGAAACAAUUAACUUUGCACGAGUGUUCAUCAAGAUCUUCUAACUGUUUUGGCUAGGCCCCAACAGAAUGCAGCUUCCCACGAUCUCUUGGUUGCUGGUCAUCUGCUGUAGCAUUACUUCUAUCAUAGCUAGCCUGAGUUUUAAUGCAACUAGGAAGAAGAGGGCGAGCCUUUUUCAUACUCAGUGGUUUGAUCAUGCUACAGUGUGAGUGGAAUAUCCUCACUGAUAUUGCUUGUAGUUUAUGGCUAGAUGUCACGUAAAUGUAAAAAGAGACAGAUUUCCUGGAAACUGCUCAUGUCGACCGCUCAGAAACCAGUUGGAAAACUGAGUGUACACGAGAUGUACCUUCCUCGCUGACAGCAUUAUUACCCUCAUUGACGUUGACGGCAGCCUCUUGGGCACCAGGUUCGUCUGAGACAACAGAAAACAAAAGAACGCAGAAUGAAUCGAUAGCCCAUAUAUCUCAAAACCAAAAAUACUAAGAACUUAUGUACUCUCCAGAAUUAUAGAAUGUAGCAAACAAUAAACCAUCCUCCUUGGGAGCAGUGAACCACUAAAAGAUACACAUGGUAGACAAGGGAAAAGGACUGACCUUGAUUUGGCUUGACGGCCUUCUUGCACGGCACACUUGAGGAUGCAGCCUUCUCAUAUUUUGUCUCAGGUUUUAACAGGCAAUGCUUGAGCGGAUUCCUCUUGAUUAUGUCAACGGACCUCCGAAUUUCAGUUGAAGCAUUGGGACAAUACACCUCAUCAGACCGUGUUCCCCAGCUUCUCAUCAAGACCCGAUGUUCAGGUGGUGGCACGACCCCCUUGACCGACC
This 5661-nucleotide long non-coding RNA is filed under the name Hordeum vulgare. RNAcentral describes it as "long non-coding RNA (HVUL_LNC013479)". The record is from RNAcentral. Lineage: Eukaryota; Viridiplantae; Streptophyta; Magnoliopsida; Poales; Poaceae.